Molecule: ribosomal RNA, 478 nt
Filed under: uncultured bacterium
Lineage: Bacteria
Description: partial 16S ribosomal RNA
Rfam family: Bacterial small subunit ribosomal RNA
Source: RNAcentral
AACAAACGCUGGCGGCGUGCCUAAUACAUGCAAGUCGAACGGGGAAAGCUUUCGGGCGAGUACUAGUGGCGCACGGGUGAGGAACACGUGGAUAAUCUGCCUUGGAGAGGGGGAUAACUAGUCGAAAGAUUAGCUAAUACCGCAUAAGACCACAGGAACUGAGGUUCUAGGGGUCAAAGGUUUUUCGCUCCAAGAUGAGUCCGCGUAAGAUUAGCUAGUUGGUGAGGUAAUGGCUCACCAAGGCGACGAUCUUUAACUGGUCUGAGAGGAUGAGCAGUCACACUGGAACUGAGACACGGUCCAGACUCCUACGGGAGCCAGCAGUAGGGAAUAGUGCACAAUGGAGGAAACUCUGAUGCAGCGACGCCGCGUCAGUGAUGAAGGCCUUCGGGUCGUAAAGCUCGGUCGCAGGGGCGUAAAAAAAUGAAGGUACCCUGCAAGAAAGGAUCGGCUAACUUCGUGCCAGCCGCCGCCGUAA